CUGCGGACUUGCCGGGCUGCUCAGCUUGGCCGCCAGCCUCCAAGUCGGGAAAGCAGUUAUCCUCUCCUGGGCUGGAGAGCAGGGACGCCCCUUCCCCGCCCCCCCGGGCGUCCCCGGGGUCGGCGCCAGAGCCCUGGAGACCCGGAGGCUCUGGCUGAUGGCGGCAACGCGGGCUCAGGAGCCUCCCCUGGCCAGGCCGAGCUUAGUUCGUGGAGGCGGCGGCUGGGGACGUGGGGGCCAAGGCUAAAGGGGACCCCACACCGCAUAGGCGUUUUCCUUCCCCUCACUUGCGCCUUAGCCUCUGCCCAAAUUGCCUGUAUCCAGUAGGACUGACUCUCUGCCUGGCCUUUCUCGGCUGCCAACCUUGCCCGAAAUCUAGACCCCAGACCUGUGACGGGUCUCCGCAACCUCUGGUAGACCAGGCUGAUCUCUAGCGAGAAACUCCAUGCGAGCAACUCCACGUUGUGUCGAGUUAAGGUAGAAACGGAAACGGUAGAAGACACUGCAUUGCUAAUGGGACUGCAAAUUGGAGCAACCACUUUUUAAAAUUUUUAUCUCAAGGCAAGGUCUGCUAAAUUGUCCAGGUUGACCUUGAACCUGUGAUCCUCCUGUCUCAGCCUCCCAAUUAGCUGGGACGACAGGCAUGAGCCACUACACUCAAGGAGAAGUCAAGUUUGACAAGUUUUUGGCCUCAAAUAACUGGAAGAAUGGAGUUUUCAUUAACAAAGUAUUUUUUUUAAAAAAUAUGUCCUCAGUUGUUGAUGAACCUUAUUUGAUUCAUUUAUUUAUAAGUCAUUCUGAGAAUUCAACCCAGUGCCUCACACAUGAUAGGCAAGGGCUCUACCACUGAGCCACAACCCCAGCCCCUAACCAAGUGUUUUAAUCAGCUUUUUUGCUGCUGUGACCAAAAGACCUGAAAAGAACCACUUUAGAGAAAGGGAGAUUUUAUUUGGCAAUCACAAUUUCAGAAAUCUUAGUCCACAGAUAGCUCGCUUUAUUGCUCUAGGCUCAAGGUGAUUGCAAAAUAUCAUCGUGAAAGAGUGUGGUGGAAGAAAGCAUCUCAGAACGUCGCCACCAAGAAGCAGAGAGAAUAUUCUGCUCAACAAGAACAAAAUAUAAACCCAAAGGCAUCCCCACAGUGACCCACCUCCUUUAGUGACAUCUUACCUGCCUACAAUGAUCACCCAGUUAAUUAAACUGUAUCAGUGGAUUAUUGACUAAUUAGGUUAAGACUCGUCAAAGCUAAUCAUUUCAACUCUUAACAUUUUUGCCUGUCUCACACAUGAACUUUGGGGUGACAACUUAUGUCUAAACCAUAACACCAAGAUAUAGAAGAUUGUGGAAGAGGAAGAUUUUUAAAAAAUGUAUGUAUGCAUGUAUGUAUGUAUGUAUGUAUUCUAACUAGGUAUAAAUGAUAGCAGAAUGCAUUUUGAUUCAUCGUACACAGUUGCAGCACAACUUUUCAUUUGUCUGGUUGUACGUUAUGUAGUGUUUGACUGUAUGUGCAAUCACACCUGUAUCUAGGGUAAUGAUGUCCAUCUCUUUCCACCAUCUUUCCUACCCCCAUGCCCCCUCUGUUCCCGUCCCUCCCCUUUGCCUGAUCACAGUUCCCCGGCCACCUCCUUCUCUCUGUCUCUCUCUCUCUCAUUUUGCGUGUGUGUGUGUGUGUGUGUGUGUGUGUGUGUGUGUGUGUUGGGGAGGUGAAACAGGAACUCAGUUUUGAGAAUGUUAGAAAGAAUUUUAGAAAUGACUUUGAAUAUUUAUGGGGAGUGAUUGAACAGGCAGUUAAAUUUUUGAGCCAUCAGCAUAGUGGUAAUAUUUGAAGUCUCCAUGCUGAAUUAGACUACAAAAAUGUACACAGAUAGAGACAUCUAAGCUGUAAGUCCUGGGCUCUCCAACAUUCAUAGGAUGUAACAUUCAUAGGAAGAACUAGUGGAGGAGACAGAAAAAUGGUGAGUGAAGAGGGAGGAGAUCCAGAAGCAGGUUGUGUCCAAGAAACCUCCUGAGGACACUGUUUCAGGGGGAGGGAGUAAUCAGCUGUGGUAAAUAUGAUAGUAGUCCACAUCAGAUGAGAAUGGAAAGUGGAACAUUGGAUUCAAGGUCAUGGAGGUUAUUAGUGACCUAACAUGAACAGUGAAGGAGAUGUGAUGGUGAAGAUAAGAUACCUUUGGAGGGGAUUGAAGGAAUCAAUGGGAAGGGAGAAUUCAGAAACCAUGAAUAUAUAGGAUUAAAAAAAAUAGUAACAUGUUGUAUAACUUUAUCAUUGAGCAAUAUUCUGAGAAUCAUACAGUUAUUUAUAGCUCUAGAUAUUUUUUCUGAAUAAUUGCAUAGUUCAAGCUUUUUUCUCUAUAUCAUUGCAUAAUUUCCCAUGACAUGAACUAUUAGAUAAUGUUUAAGAUGGUUAUCUAAAUAGAUGUCUUAACUUUUCUAUAUUAGUACCAAGAAUUUCAAUCAUUCCUGCCUUAAAACUCUAGAAUUUAAUAUCCAAUAUUAAUCCAGAGAUUGAGGAAGAAGAGGCAGAAGAAUUUUGAAUGAUCAUAGGGGGACACAUAUGGGCAGGAACCUGGUGGCAGUGGGGAUUUUAUCAUGGAAACCAGUAGAAAAUGAAGUUCCCUGAAGUGUUCUCUCUAAUUCUUUUCUUCCUUGGGUCAGGAAUAAUACUAAAGAGUUAAACACUCACAAAGGUACAAGUUUGGGUUACAGAUACUUUUGCCAGAAAUACAAUUUUGUUUUCAAAAUGCACAAGUCACUAUUAUGAAAGCACCAGUGCUUCUCCAUUUCCUUUUGUGCUAGAGUGUGAAGGUUUUUGUUGCUGCUGUAGUUGUUUGAGUACCAGUGUCCAGGAUGAGCAUCCUUGCCUCCUGAAGCUAUUUUCUCUACUCUCAAAACAACUCAUCCUAUUUUUGAAUGCUUUUUAGCAGGAAACCUCUUUUAUUUCCAAACUUUCUCUUUCGAAGAAAGGAGCUGUCUCUCUCUAACCUCCCACAUUGCGCAGCUGCUUAGGAGGCUUGUAAUUAAUGGAGAUGUGCUAACAAUUGCACACCCAUUGAUGUUCUGGGCUUAUUGAUAGAAGCAGGGUGGGCAGCACUCGUUGGGCUGGGGCCUCUAACUAUACGCUUUGCCAAUGAGCUGUAGAUUAGCUAUUGUUCUUUUUAAGUCAGAGGAUCUUUGGGAGCCUGUCUUAUAUAAGUUCAGGAGAAUUUUCCUUGGGGAUUAUGAAAUGAUUCCCAACAUAGAAGAAUUGAAGAGGAAUUUUCUGAAUAGAAUUAGCUUCUUCUGUUGGAUCUCUUAAUAAGCAGUAGUGCUCUAUCCCCUACAGAUCUUCCAAAAAUUCUGGUAAUUGUCUGGGCUUGUUGAUUUGUAUUUUGAAGUGCUUCUAAAUGCCAGCUCUGCA
This is a non-coding RNA of Ictidomys tridecemlineatus (thirteen-lined ground squirrel), 3394 nucleotides long. NCBI's taxonomy places the organism in Eukaryota, Metazoa, Chordata, Mammalia, Rodentia, Sciuridae. The record is from RefSeq and is a predicted model, not a curated record.